GACGAACGCUGGCGGCGUGCUUAACACAUGCAAGUCGAACGGAAAGGCCCUGCUUUUGUGGGGUGCUCGAGUGGCGAACGGGUGAGUAACACGUGAGUAACCUGCCCUUGACUUUGGGAUAACUUCAGGAAACUGGGGCUAAUACCGGAUAGGAGCUCCUGCUGCAUGGUGGGGGUUGGAAAGUUUCGGCGGUUGGGGAUGGACUCGGGGCUUAUCAGCUUGUUGGUUGGGUAGUGGCUUACCAAGGCUUUGACGGGUAGCCGGCCUGGGAGGGUGACCGGGCACAUUGGGACUGAGAUACGGCCCAGACUCCUACGGGAGGCAGCAGUGGGGAAUAUUGCACAAUGGGCGGAAGCCUGAUGCAGCAACGCCGCGUGCGGGAUGACGGCCUUCGGGUUGUAACCCGCUUUCGCCUGUGACGAAGCGUGAGUGACGGUAAUGGGUAAAGAAGCACCGGCUAACUACGUG
This 468-nucleotide ribosomal RNA is filed under the name uncultured bacterium. Its description in RNAcentral is "partial 16S ribosomal RNA". It matches the Rfam family "Bacterial small subunit ribosomal RNA", at positions 28 to 507 of the family's 1533-position model. The record is from RNAcentral.